This 1221-nucleotide long non-coding RNA is filed under the name Bos indicus x Bos taurus (hybrid cattle). RNAcentral describes it as "lncRNA (ENSBIXG00005005443.1)". The record is from RNAcentral. Lineage: Eukaryota; Metazoa; Chordata; Mammalia; Artiodactyla; Bovidae.
GCCGUGACCGCGCCUCCGUGGCCCGCGCGGAGCCAGAUGCCGCCCUCUCCGCCGGUCCCUCCCCUGGCGGCCUGGCGCCUCCUUCCCUCCCCGCCGCGGUGACUCACGGAGAGGGAGGCGGAGGCUGAGGCGGCCGCUCCCGCUGCUGCCGCUGCCGCUGCUGCCGUUGCGGCUGCUCGGGCUGUGCGCGUCCCGGAACAGGCCGCCGCGCGCCGCUCUCGGACCCGCAGCCCCCGCCCGCCUGGCCGGGUCGGGCGGCCCAGGGUGGCAUCUUCCUAUUUCUCCCCGGCCACAGCCCACCUGUCACAGUUGAGCAUCUGGUUGCCUCAAGUUGAUUUCCAGAAGCAGCAGUCCCCAGAGCUGGCCAGGGGAUGAACCGCGAGGGGGCCCCCGGGAAGAGUCCGGAGGAGAUGUACAUUCAGCAGAAGGUCCGAGUGCUGCUCAUGCUGAGGAAGAUGGGCUCCAACCUGACGGCCAACGAGGAGGAGUUCCUUCGCACCUACGCGGGGGUGGUCAACAGCCAGCUCAGCCAGCUGCCCCAGCACUCCAUCGACCAGGGUGCGGAGGACGUAGUGAUGGCGUUUUCCAGGUCGGAGACCGAGGACCGGAGGCAGUAGCUUCAACCCCCGUGGAACACCCUGGAAGCUGGCCAAGGCCAGGGGAUCUGUGUGGACCUCACCGCUGAGUGGCAGAGGGUCAUCUCCCCUCCCCCUAGCCCCCCACCCCACCCCACUCUGCCCCGCCCCACGGCCACUCAGCAUCCUCGGGGGAGACACCAGUGGUGCGGUCACGAUUGGCUUAAAGGGACGGACUCAAGAUUGGCUGCAGGAAGAAACCUUUUUAUUUUUAAAUCUUGACCAAUGGAAACCUUUUUAUUUUUAUUUUCUGACUCUUAUUUUAAAAAAAGAAAAAAAAAUUUGCGCCUCGGGUGUAUGGCUUCCCAGGAAGCUCUCCGAGCUCUGGUGCUUUAUUUGGGUCACUCUUUAGGAACAUGAGGAGGUCCGAUUGGCGGCUUAAACUGGAAAAGGAUUUGAUUGGCUGGCUAAUGGGAACCUUUUUUUUUCUUUGAUUGGCUGCAGGUGUUAUGCUGAUCACAACAGCUCCUCUUUUGAAUGUCGAAAACAGGGUUUGGGACAUUGGUUGUUAUAUUUGACUUGAAAAAAAGAAAGAAAGAAACCAAGUGCGCUUUGCAAUAUUUAUUACACAAAGAGCCUGCUGCUG